Molecule: ribosomal RNA, 1528 nt
Filed under: Klebsiella ornithinolytica
Lineage: Bacteria; Pseudomonadati; Pseudomonadota; Gammaproteobacteria; Enterobacterales; Enterobacteriaceae
Description: bacterial SSU rRNA
Rfam family: Bacterial small subunit ribosomal RNA
Source: RNAcentral
AGAGUUUGAUCAUGGCUCAGAUUGAACGCUGGCGGCAGGCCUAACACAUGCAAGUCGAGCGGUAGCACAGAGAGCUUGCUCUCGGGUGACGAGCGGCGGACGGGUGAGUAAUGUCUGGGAAACUGCCUGAUGGAGGGGGAUAACUACUGGAAACGGUAGCUAAUACCGCAUAACGUCGCAAGACCAAAGUGGGGGACCUUCGGGCCUCAUGCCAUCAGAUGUGCCCAGAUGGGAUUAGCUAGUAGGUGGGGUAAUGGCUCACCUAGGCGACGAUCCCUAGCUGGUCUGAGAGGAUGACCAGCCACACUGGAACUGAGACACGGUCCAGACUCCUACGGGAGGCAGCAGUGGGGAAUAUUGCACAAUGGGCGCAAGCCUGAUGCAGCCAUGCCGCGUGUAUGAAGAAGGCCUUCGGGUUGUAAAGUACUUUCAGCGAGGAGGAAGGCGUUAAGGUUAAUAACCUUGGCGAUUGACGUUACUCGCAGAAGAAGCACCGGCUAACUCCGUGCCAGCAGCCGCGGUAAUACGGAGGGUGCAAGCGUUAAUCGGAAUUACUGGGCGUAAAGCGCACGCAGGCGGUCUGUUAAGUCAGAUGUGAAAUCCCCGGGCUCAACCUGGGAACUGCAUUUGAAACUGGCAGGCUUGAGUCUUGUAGAGGGGGGUAGAAUUCCAGGUGUAGCGGUGAAAUGCGUAGAGAUCUGGAGGAAUACCGGUGGCGAAGGCGGCCCCCUGGACAAAGACUGACGCUCAGGUGCGAAAGCGUGGGGAGCAAACAGGAUUAGAUACCCUGGUAGUCCACGCUGUAAACGAUGUCGACUUGGAGGUUGUUCCCUUGAGGAGUGGCUUCCGGAGCUAACGCGUUAAGUCGACCGCCUGGGGAGUACGGCCGCAAGGUUAAAACUCAAAUGAAUUGACGGGGGCCCGCACAAGCGGUGGAGCAUGUGGUUUAAUUCGAUGCAACGCGAAGAACCUUACCUACUCUUGACAUCCAGAGAACUUAGCAGAGAUGCUUUGGUGCCUUCGGGAACUCUGAGACAGGUGCUGCAUGGCUGUCGUCAGCUCGUGUUGUGAAAUGUUGGGUUAAGUCCCGCAACGAGCGCAACCCUUAUCCUUUGUUGCCAGCGGUCCGGCCGGGAACUCAAAGGAGACUGCCAGUGAUAAACUGGAGGAAGGUGGGGAUGACGUCAAGUCAUCAUGGCCCUUACGAGUAGGGCUACACACGUGCUACAAUGGCAUAUACAAAGAGAAGCGACCUCGCGAGAGCAAGCGGACCUCAUAAAGUAUGUCGUAGUCCGGAUUGGAGUCUGCAACUCGACUCCAUGAAGUCGGAAUCGCUAGUAAUCGUAGAUCAGAAUGCUACGGUGAAUACGUUCCCGGGCCUUGUACACACCGCCCGUCACACCAUGGGAGUGGGUUGCAAAAGAAGUAGGUAGCUUAACCUUCGGGAGGGCGCUUACCACUUUGUGAUUCAUGACUGGGGUGAAGUCGUAACAAGGUAACCGUAGGGGAACCUGCGGUUGGAUCACCU